CUGGACAUAAUUUAUGUUUAGCGCCGUUUGACCUUUCUAAAGGUCGAAUCUUGUUGUGAUGGUAAUACAAAAGUUAUAGAGGACUUCAUAAUCUUUCCAGAAAGUCCUAGUUUACUAUUUUUGGAUGGAUAUUUUGUGAGUUAUGAGGUAAACAAAUAGCUGCUGUUUUGCUGUCCAAAAUCAGCAAGUAUUAUAAUGAUUACUUGGAGUUUCUUUUGUGUGGAUACUUAGAUUUGGUUAGUUCUUGUCUUGGUUAAUGAAGUCUUGUAGUUGCAUAGGGUUGUUCUUUUCUUUCUUAAUGCUUGCCUUAGACUUUAGCAUUUUAAGAAGGAAAAUAAAUACUUUGGUGAGUGCAUUUGAAUUAGUGACAUUGAUGCCUUGUCUUAGGAAGUAUUGUCUUCUAUGUAAUCACGGGAAUUAAUAAGUCAUGAAUGGUUAUUGUUUUCCAUUUCGAGUAUCUGGGAUCAAGUAGCACCAAUAAGUCUAAUCCAAGUAAAUUAUGAAAUCUAUGUGAUACUAGAUGUGAAUGAGGAGUUUAGGUUGAAAUGCCAAUUAUGUGUAGAGUGGUAAGUUAGUAUUUUGAAUAUUUUGCAGGGAAGUGGUGUCGAGGUUACUGUGAUGAUUUAGUUAUUUGAGUGAAUAUGUAUGUGAUGGAUGCUUUGCCUACUAGCUCACAAUUGUGAUGUCUUAGCUAUUGUAUGAUUCAAGUCAUUUGGACAUGGUGGUUUAGAAAGUCAAUAGAUUGCUUCUAUCCAUAUUUUAUUCUAGAUGUCUGUUAGUGAGGAACCUAAGGUUAUUAGUUUUUCGAUGAAUUCUUAAUCCUAGUAGAAUAUAGAACCCAAGUAAAACAUGUUACUAGAUGUUUGGUUUAGGUCCAUUUGACUUAAAGGUCAUGUUUGUGUAAAGUCAAAAGCAUCUAAGUAAAGUUGAAAUGUCUUGCUUUAAGUGCUUAACCUACUUCGAGUAGCAUUAUCUAGCUCGUGCUAUUCAUACUCGUGCUCAUUCAUGUGCAUCUUGCAUAUCACAUAGGUACGUUCAUUGAUCACGUAUUGUGGAGGACAACAACAACUGGAAUAAUCUCAAAGUGGGAUUGAUGAAUGAACCCAAAGCUGAAUGAUCUGAUCGUACUGGAAUGGGAGGUGCUCGCCAAGCGAGUAUCAUCUAACAACACUGACUUAGUGUUUAUCCCAGGCAAGCCCCGGUGCAUUUGCCACCCCCUUGUUGUUAUAAAACUUUUUAUCACUUAUAUGUUGCAUUAGGUGAUAGGAGUUGUGUGAAUAAACAAUUGAUGCAUUACCAUUCCUUAGAAUUUUAUUACUAUUCCUUGAUUCCUCUUUAUAAAAGAGAACUAAAGAUGCUUAGUCCUGCUUAGAUAAUUAAAAAGUUGUUCUUUUUAAUAAAGAUGAUGUGUUACACGGGAUAUGGGAAAUUUUUGUGAAAAAGAAAUUGGGAUGGUGAAUCCAUAUGGCCAUGAUGGAUUCAACGUCCAGAAAAAGUACCUCUGUCAGGUACCAAGGAUUGGGAAACGGUUUAACUAAAAUGAGACCAGACGUUGAGCAGGAAAGGUCGCCCGUCUGUGUCGAUUAAGGACCGUUCCGAUUGUUGGCCUGCUGAUCUAGGACCCUUUAACUGGCCACAUGCCUCAUCAUGGGUAAGCUUAGCCUCGGUCGGACCAAUACCAGAACAGCUCGCACGCACUGGGAGUGGAGAGAUGGCGAGAGUAGCUUGUACCCUCCGUGGCAAGAGACUGGAAGGUGGGGUGCUGUACUCUCGGAAACAUGGUGGGCACCAUGGCGAGAGUAACGUGUACCAACCAGGCCAACGGCUGGAAGGUGGGGUGCUGUACUCUCGGAAACAUGGCGGGCACCAUGGUGAGAGUAACGUGUACCAACCAGGCCAAUGGCUGGACGGUGGAGUACUGUGCUCUCGGGUCGCGUGAACCUGUUUUGGUCUUGAGAAACCCGUGGGCGAGUUGACAUAUGCAAGGGUUAAGUGCUACAUAUGUCGUGUGGUUGGAGAUCCCCAGCUGGGUAUUAAUCGAUUCGGAUCGCCGUUACUUCUCGGAUAUGAAGACUAGAUCACUGCCCUGCAUCGUAGAUAACAAGUGAAACUAAAGUUGAUAAAAGGAAGCUAGUGUAGGACAAGUGAAUGCUCUAGAUUAGGCAAAUCUAGAUUCAGGAAAAGUACUUAACUUGUGAAGUAAAAUUUUGGCAUAAGGAUCCACUACUAGUAUGCUUUUCUGCAAAAACGAGUCUUUGAAAUUUGAUGAGCCUUACCUUGAUUCCCAAUAAACCAGCAUACCCUUGAGAGUCUUUUCUUUAGUCGGGUAAGUCUUGCUGAGUAAUUGUGUACUCAGGGUUUUAUUCCCUGUUGUUUUUCAGGUUAUAAUUUUGUUCUGUUGUGGAUGCUGCUAAGUGCCGGUGGGCUCGGCCUUCUUAUAUAAGUAUAUCCCAUCUUUAGCUUCUUUAUUGAGGAUUGUCACUUAAGCUAGCAUGUAUUUUAAAACUUAUAAAUGUUUUAUACAUUCAAAUUGUAAUCUUUUGAAUCAAUUUCUUUUGUAACCAACUCCGAUGAUAUAUAUUGUAAUCUUGCUAUAACUUGUAAAUGUUGUAACUUGUAACCAUUUUGUAAUAAAUAAUUUAUUUCCGCUGCAAAUAUUGGUGUGUGAUUUGUGUUUACUUAAUCUUGCGAUCUUGGCGGUAAGUCGUUUAUCCGGGGUCCUCGGGGCACUCGGACAGAUCCUGUUAAGUUGUUUGGUGCACAUGCAUAGCUGUCUGAGGUCUUUGAGACAAGGACAGGUGCAUGUGGGCCCGAUAACUUGGGAGGUUCUGCGACAGCUGGUAUCGGAGCUUGAUUAAGUAUGAUACGGUCACAUACGUAUUUUCAAAACAAAAGUUUUGGUUUUAGAAAAUCUAUUUUCAACUAAACACAUUGUUUGGUUUUGAAAAACAGAUUUGAAAAAUUAUAAUGCUAGCGACAUCCUCUAUAAGCCCUAAGUUAAGGACUACUAGGUGGUUUAGUUCAGAAUACUAACCCACAACCUGGGAAGGGUAAUGCAUACAUGUGUAAUGUUAUUUUUGAGGCCAUUCAGUCUUGAAUGGAUCGACGCUCAAGGUAAGGUGAGAUGUGAGAGCAUGACCGAACAAACGUCGGUCUAGGGAAGAGCAUAAAAAGCGCUUGACUAUAUACAUGUUCUACAUAUGUAUAUAUGAAGGCUGUAAUGUGGAGUAAUUACUUUUCCGGGAUUCAGUACCCCUGGAUGUGUGUGGGCAUACAGACAUGGGAAUACUGAGAAGUGUAAUGUAUUUGCAACGACGCACCUACGCUCAGGUAAGAAGGUGAGUUACCAUAAUGAGCUGCCCUAUGGUUAAAGUGUGGCAGCGGCGCCUAUGCGUGGCUCGACGCUUAAUGAGGAGCUGGCCUCCAUAUAGCAAUAUAUGGAGUAUAAACUGUGAUAACUGUCAUGUAUGAAUUGCAUCAUUGGGAAUUGGGCUGUGAUGGAAUUUUCUGCAGGUACACUAACUUCGAACUCGUAUGUGUAGCUGACGACUAGCAACAUAUCGAGAGAGAACGUAGAUAUGCCACCGAUAUAGAACGCUAUUGCCACAUUAUGUUGGCGAAAUUUGUGAGGACGAAUAGGACGAGCAUGUAUCCUGAUUGUUGCAUUGUGUUUGUUGUUUGCGCACAAAAAUGCUUCCCUCACCUUUAUUCUAAUAAUUGGUGAUUGUGAACGAACAUGCUUUUCUCGUCUUUAUUCCGAUAAUAAAUAAUUGGAAAAUGUGUGAAGUAUCACUGUUCUAUAAGAAAUUUCUAGCUUUGUUUGAUGUGUUCUUUAGACAUGUGUUUAUGUGGUCUGUGGUUCUUCUUAGUUUGACCGAUAGUGCAACUUAUGUUUAUUUUUGUGCCUGUGUGCCGGUAGAAUGUUGAUAGCUUGUUUGCGUAAACCCAAAGCUAAGCUAUGUCCUUGUUUAGUAAACUUGAUCUAAACGUGUAUUAAUUUCUUGACAACUUAUCCUAGGUGUCGUCUUGUGUGAAGAUCAUUUUCUUCACAAGGUCAUUGGAGUUCUAGCAAUUAGAUCAAGUCAUGUCCUCAUCAUCUCAAUAUUUGAAAUUGUAUGAGAUCUAAUUCAUAAUUUUGUCACUUCUUCAAAGUCCCUCUAAAUCUUCAAAAUAUGCAUGAGUUUGAAUUAUCGAUUCCUACUCCAUGGCCAAACUCAUGCAAAUACAAAUAGAUGUUUAGGUAAUUCCCUUAUUGGACCUAAGAUGCACUCAAACUUAAAAAUAAGGAUCUCGGGUCUGUGAUCUUGACAAUUCACUUGUAGCUCUCUUAUGGUCAUAUUUUCAUCCUAAACCAUACCCUUGUUUGGUUGGUGCAAGCUGAUGUUUCUAUUCUGCUUUGCCUCUCCAUGAGGAUCACAUUGUCGGUUUCUCAAUCUGACCUAGUAAAGGAAUGCCCAAUAGUUUUCUUGAAUUUAAUGCCUUUGGUUUCCUCAUAUCUCUCGAAGGCAUACCAAUUUAAUCUUAUGAUCAUUUUCCCUCUGAACCUAAUCAGACACUAAUCCUUGACUUUGUAAUCUCGGCGAUGGGCAUAGAAAUAUGCUUGGGGCUGAAUUAAGAGUCCCCCAUCGUACUCAUUCAUUAAUAAGUUUAGGUUAUGGCCAUGUCUUGUUUAUUUCAUCGGCCAUGAUCUAUUUGGCUCUCUGUUUGUAAUCCUUCUUAAAGGUGGAGUCUCUUUUGUAUCUUGUCAUCCUUGCUUGGUCUAUGUGUGCCACAUAAGGUUUUUCAUUGGUUGAGCUUGGUAAUGGCGUUAUGACUAAAACUGACGGUGCCGCGACGAAACCGAGGGCCUCCUGUGGGUAUACACACACGGUUGUGCUGCUCGGCACGCGCUGGUAUCACGGUUAAUAGUUGUAAUCCAUUAGGAAGCUAUAUCAAUGUGUUAUCUGGGCACAAUCUUUUUACGCUAUGUGAGAUUCAUUAUUGGUGCCAGUUCGGUGAUGGUGUCAUGAAUAAGGACUUAUGGUGCCGCAGCGAAACUGAGAGCCCCUUGUGAAUGUACACGCAAGGUUAUGCUGCUUGGCGCAUGCUGGUAUCGAUGUAUCUAGUCAUGAUCCAUUAUGGAACUACAUUAAUAUAUUAUCUUUCGUGGACUUUUCCCUUGAAAUGAUUUUUGUGUUGUUUGCUGAAACAAUCAAACAACAUAUGCCAUCACUGUUGGAUCAAAAGAAUAUGUAUAACUCUGAUGUAUUCUUUAAGUAAAAUUCUUACCAGCUCUGAAGUCUUCAAAAAAAAAUAAUCGAAACCUAUCUGUAUUUAACCGUGUGAUAAAAUCACCCUUUUCAUGUGGGGACUCCUUUCUCUUGAUCUUAGUGGCAACUGCACACAUGGAACCUUGCAUCGAUAGUGUGAUACAUGCUAUAUUCCCUAGAGAAACCAACAUCUUGGAGUACUCAUCUCUACUCGGAGCUGCCUUAUGCUAUCGCUAUUAUGGACAAGGUUAUACGCCUCUCUACUCUUAGAAGUCUUUCGUUCCGAAUCUCGGGACGAGAUUCUUUUAAGGGGGGAAGGUUGUAACACCCCAGGUGUUUAUCGUCUGCUCGACCACGAGUGCGGACUUUAACACGUGAUAGCGGUGAAUAAAAUGGACACUAAAUUUUAAUCAUCUUCGUCUAUCACAAUUUUGAUAUCGUAUCUGUCUCCAUCUGUCUAAAUUGUCCUAAUUUAUUUUGCAAAAUUCAGACUUGAGUAAUAUUUCGAAACAUUGAAUCCAAUAUUGUUUGGGUUGAGCCAUCGACGUCUUGCCCAAACUCUAAAUUCUUGAAAUCGGAUCUGGUUCCUAAACUUUGUUUCAAAUUAUUUCACGCUUGCGUUGCACGUGUCUCUCUGUGGCCUGGCAUCGUGGCGCGUGGCUGGUGCUAACCGACGCCUGGACAGCGCACAACCUCUCGCCCACGUGAACGUUGCGUGACGUCGAUUUUGAAAGGAUCACAAUUUCGAUGUUGUAUCGAUCUCGCGUAUUUAUUUCGCGAAAUGUUGAAUCUUUUGUCUGUUUAAAAUUCAUGGAUUAAGAGAAUAUGAAUUUGAAAUCUCGACCCACUCUUGUGAUUCUUGUCCCAGACAAAUUAAGUGGAUCUCGACAACUAAAGUUUUUGGUGCAAAAUAAUUAUGUCUCCUCUCGUCAGCUGAGAGAUCACGUCCGAGGAUUUAUAAUCAUGUUUGGUUUCUAGCAAAUUAUCCUCGACAUGGAGAUUAGGAGUCGAGUUACAUAUGAAAUUAUCUGAUCUUAAAUCAUAUCAAACACAAUUUUUAAAUAGCAUGACCGAUGUUGUGGAGCGAUCCGAUCGUAUCUCACCCAGAUCCAAACGUGCGUGUAUAAAUAUCUAGUAAAAAUUUUAAUUGAUUUUUUUGAACGUCUACCAAAAUGAGCAUCGUCUAAAUACUGAAGUCAAUCUCCUUUUGGUCCAAUCCAUUUAUGCCUAUGUUAAACCUUAAUCCGAGCAUCAUAUUUAUCCAUAAGUUAUAACAAAAAAAUGGAAAAUCCCAUUUCUAUUAUCUAUUCCAUCGGCCUUAUCCAGCUACCAUCCAUGGCUUAUCCUCACGUACGUAGCUCCUGGAAUUCUCAAGAAGCCACUGUUCACAGGUCUUGUCAUUAUUUAAAAUUUAAGUGGACCAAAGUAAUUAGAACUGAACCAAAUAAUUGCUAAUCAGUUUGUGGCUCGGUUUCAUAAUCUGAAAAGCGAAAUAGGGGUCCCAAAUACAUUUUGGGGUGGCUCAUUUGAACUCUUCCCAAACCAUAGAAACUAGAUACGUGCUUAUGAUUUUGUAAACAAUGGGAGAAGAAAUAUCUGAUUUCUUAUCCUUCUCACCGCUCAACUCCUAUCCCUUAUCCUUCCACGAUGUGCUGUCGGCCUCAUCUCCCAAGUCCAAGCCAUUCUUGUUCCUUCUCUGCUCGUUCUCAUGGCCGAGCUCCCCACGUCCGCCGCUCCUCCCUGGCGCCCUCACCUCCAUUGGAGCUCGCCCCUGUUGAGCUCACCUGUGCUCGUCGGCUGCCCUGCAGUUCCCCCAUGGACGCCUCCUUUCUAAUCUGUGUGCAGGGGUUUCCUUCCCAUGGUCGCCCUCAACCCCAUGGUCGACCUCGCCUAGCCCUUCCCCCAUCUCUUCCCCAAGCUCGGUUCGGCAUGGAGGCUGGCCACAGGACGCAGCACACCAACCUCACCGGCCAUACCCUCUGCUUUUCCCCACUGUCCGCAGCCCCGAUGUCGUCGUCGUGAUUAGACAUGGUGAUUCCUAACUCCUUUCUUUUUAUUUCACUAAUUUUCUAGUGCGAGCAGAUUUUGUUAGCGUAUGUUGAUAUGAGGUUAUGUGUAUUUGUGUGCAAGUGUGGCGAAAAGAAAGAUUCUAGAGUUUGGUGGGAAAGGAAAGCUCUAUCACGACGACCACCAGGUGUUUGAUGAAAUGAAUAAAUUGAUGCUUGUUGUUAUUCCGAAGUUUUGGGGCCAGAUAAAAUUGUUAGUCAGUCGUUUCCUUGUGCUUAUCAUUUGGUUCAAGAUGUGUAUUGCAUAGGUGUGGAUAGGUCAAUGAUUCCCUUGUGUUUAGCAAAUCCUUUGUGUUGAUUAUCGUCGGAUCCUUUGCUACUGUUUGGGUGAUGAAGUAGAAGGUUUUAGCUCUGAACAAUAAUAAGGUGUUAGAAUAUUUGAAGUAUUAAACACCUGAAAAUUAUAGAAACCAAAUAGGAGCGAAAUGGAAUGCUUGCUGUUUGGGACUGUAUGUCCAGUUUUAGUAAGCAGGUAGUUCAAUAAAGUAAACCAUGUUUUCUGUAGAAAUGUUAUAUAGGAAAGUUGUAGAUCACUUCUUUAUCUUACUUGUGUAAAAAUUUCAUGACCAUAGGACUAGUAGUUUAGGAGUUAUGAUUUUUCCAAGUCCAGUUUCAGAAUCUGUCCAAAUUCUGUACAGGUUUCGAAAAUUGGAUUGUUUGGCUGAGUUAAACUGAGAGUCAGUCAUUAGUAAUUAUAGGAGAACUGUAGUACUUUCCUUAAGCUUUCCCACAAAUUUUGGAUCACCCUUUUUAGUGAUCUAUAAAUUAAGUUACAGCUAUUUGAGUUAGGAUCUCUGAAUCUGUCCAAAUUUGGACAGCAGAGCCUUUCCCCUGUCUUUUGACUUUGGUAUGUAUUGAAUUGACCUGUGAUGUUUAUAAAUGAAUUGUAGACAAUUCUACUAGCUUUCUAAAAAGUCUAGGAUCACCUGAUUUGGAUACCUGAAACUCAAGUUAUGAAUUUUUGAAGUAAGUAGUCGAAUUCUGUCCAAAUCUGGACAUAAUUUAUGUUUAGCGCCGUUUGACCUUUCUAAAGGUCGAAUCUUGUUGUGAUGGUAAUACAAAAGUUAUAGAGGACUUCAUAAUCUUUCCAGAAAGUCCUAGUUUACUAUUUUUGGAUGGAUAUUUUGUGAGUUAUGAGGUAAACAAAUAGCUGCUGUUUUGCUGUCCAAAAUCAGCAAGUAUUAUAAUGAUUACUUGGAGUUUCUUUUGUGUGGAUACUUAGAUUUGGUUAGUUCUUGUCUUGGUUAAUGAAGUCUUGUAGUUGCAUAGGGUUGUUCUUUUCUUUCUUAAUGCUUGCCUUAGACUUUAGCAUUUUAAGAAGGAAAAUAAAUACUUUGGUGAGUGCAUUUGAAUUAGUGACAUUGAUGCCUUGUCUUAGGAAGUAUUGUCUUCUAUGUAAUCACGGGAAUUAAUAAGUCAUGAAUGGUUAUUGUUUUCCAUUUCGAGUAUCUGGGAUCAAGUAGCACCAAUAAGUCUAAUCCAAGUAAAUUAUGAAAUCUAUGUGAUACUAGAUGUGAAUGAGGAGUUUAGGUUGAAAUGUCAAUUAUGUGUAGAGUGGUAAGUUAGUAUUUUGAAUAUUUUGCAGGGAAGUGGUGUCGAGGUUACUGUGAUGAUUUAGUUGUUUGAGUGAAUAUGUAUGUGAUGGAUGCUUUGCCUACUAGCUCACAAUUGUGAUGUCUUAGCUAUUGUAUGAUUCAAGUCAUUUGGACAUGGUGGUUUAGAAAGUCAAUAGAUUGCUUCUAUCCAUAUUUUAUUCUAGAUGUCUGUUAGUGAGGAACCUAAGGUUAUUAGUUUUUCGAUGAAUUCUUAAUCCUAGUAGAAUAUAGAACCCAAGUAAAACAUGUUACUAGAUGUUUGGUUUAGGUCCAUUUGACUUAAAGGUCAUGUUUGUGUAAAGUCAAAAGCAUCUAAGUAAAGUUGAAAUGUCUUGCUUUAAGUGCUUAACCUACUUCGAGUAGCAUUAUCUAGCUCGUGCUAUUCAUACUCGUGCUCAUUCAUGUGCAUCUUGCAUAUCACAUAGGUACGUUCAUUGAUCACGUAUUGUGGAGGACAACAACAACUGGAAUAAUCUCAAAGUGGGAUUGAUGAAUGAACCCAAAGCUGAAUGAUCUGAUCGUACUGGAAUGGGAGGUGCUCGCCAAGCGAGUAUCAUCUAACAACACUGACUUAGUGUUUAUCCCAGGCAAGCCCCGGUGCAUUUGCCACCCCCUUGUUGUUAUAAAACUUUUUAUCACUUAUAUGUUGCAUUAGGUGAUAGGAGUUGUGUGAAUAAACAAUUGAUGCAUUACCAUUCCUUAGAAUUUUAUUACUAUUCCUUGAUUCCUCUUUAUAAAAGAGAACUAAAGAUGCUUAGUCCUGCUUAGAUAAUUAAAAAGUUGUUCUUUUUAAUAAAGAUGAUGUGUUACACGGGAUAUGGGAAAUUUUUGUGAAAAAGAAAUUGGGAUGGUGAAUCCAUAUGGCCAUGAUGGAUUCAACGUCCAGAAAAAGUACCUCUGUCAGGUACCAAGGAUUGGGAAACGGUUUAACUAAAAUGAGACCAGACGUUGAGCAGGAAAGGUCGCCCGUCUGUGUCGAUUAAGGACCGUUCCGAUUGUUGGCCUGCUGAUCUAGGACCCUUUAACUGGCCACAUGCCUCAUCAUGGGUAAGCUUAGCCUCGGUCGGACCAAUACCAGAACAGCUCGCACGCACUGGGAGUGGAGAGAUGGCGAGAGUAGCUUGUACCCUCCGUGGCAAGAGACUGGAAGGUGGGGUGCUGUACUCUCGGAAACAUGGCGGGCACCAUGGCGAGAGUAACGUGUACCAACCAGGCCAACGGCUGGAAGGUGGGGUGCUGUACUCUCGGAAACAUGGCGGGCACCAUGGUGAGAGUAACGUGUACCAACCAGGCCAAUGGCUGGACGGUGGAGUACUGUGCUCUCGGGUCGCGUGAACCUGUUUUGGUCUUGAGAAACCCGUGGGCGAGUUGACAUAUGCAAGGGUUAAGUGCUACAUAUGUCGUGUGGUUGGAGAUCCCCAGCUGGGUAUUAAUCGAUUCGGAUCGCCGUUACUUCUCGGAUAUGAAGACUAGAUCACUGCCCUGCAUCGUAGAUAACAAGUGAAACUAAAGUUGAUAAAAGGAAGCUAGUGUAGGACAAGUGAAUGCUCUAGAUUAGGCAAAUCUAGAUUCAGGAAAAGUACUUAACUUGUGAAGUAAAAUUUUGGCAUAAGGAUCCACUACUAGUAUGCUUUUCUGCAAAAACGAGUCUUUGAAAUUUGAUGAGCCUUACCUUGAUUCCCAAUAAACCAGCAUACCCUUGAGAGUCUUUUCUUUAGUCGGGUAAGUCUUGCUGAGUAAUUGCGUACUCAGGGUUUUAUUCCCUGUUGUUUUUCAGGUUAUAAUUUUGUUCUGUUGUGGAUGCUGCUAAGUGCCGGUGGGCUCGGCCUUCUUAUAUAAGUAUAUCCCAUCUUUAGCUUCUUUAUUGAGGAUUGUCACUUAAGCUAGCAUGUAUUUUAAAACUUAUAAAUGUUUUAUACAUUCAAAUUGUAAUCUUUUGAAUCAAUUUCUUUUGUAACCAACUCCGAUGAUAUAUAUUGUAAUCUUGCUAUAACUUGUAAAUGUUGUAACUUGUAACCAUUUUGUAAUAAAUAAUUUAUUUCCGCUGCAAAUAUUGGUGUGUGAUUUGUGUUUACUUAAUCUUGCGAUCUUGGCGGUAAGUCGUUUAUCCGGGGUCCUCGGGGCACUCGGACAGAUCCUGUUAAGUUGUUUGGUGCACAUGCAUAGCUGUCUGAGGUCUUUGAGACAAGGACAGGUGC
Molecule: long non-coding RNA, 11108 nt
Filed under: Zea mays
Lineage: Eukaryota; Viridiplantae; Streptophyta; Magnoliopsida; Poales; Poaceae
Description: long non-coding RNA (ZMAY_LNC000021)
Source: RNAcentral